GACGAACGCUGGCGGCGUGCCUAAUACAUGCAAGUAGAACGCUGAAGGAGGAGCUUGCUUCUCUGGAUGAGUUUCGAACGGGUGAGUAACGCGUAGGUAACCUGCCUGGUAGCGGGGGAUAACUAUUGGAAACGAUAGCUAAUACCGCAUAAGAGUAGAUGUUGCAUGACAUUUGCUUAAAAGGUGCAAUUGCAUCACUACCAGAUGGACCUGCGUUGUAUUAGCUAGUUGGUGAGGUAACGGCUCACCAAGGCGACGAUACAUAGCCGACCUGAGAGGGUGAUCGGCCACACUGGGACUGAGACACGGCCCAGACUCCUACGGGAGGCAGCAGUAGGGAAUCUUCGGCAAUGGACGGAAGUCUGACCGAGCAACGCCGCGUGAGUGAAGAAGGUUUUCGGAUCGUAAAGCUCUGUUGUAAGAGAAGAACGAGUGUGAGAGUGGAAAGUUCACACUGUGACGGUAUCUUACCAGAAAGGGACGGCUAACUACGUGCCAGCAGCCGCGGUAAUACGUAGGUCCCGAGCGUUGUCCGGAUUUAUUGGGCGUAAAGCGAGCGCAGGCGGUUAGAUAAGUCUGAAGUUAAAGGCUGUGGCUUAACCAUAGUACGCUUUGGAAACUGUUUAACUUGAGUGCAAGAGGGGAGAGUGGAAUUCCAUGUGUAGCGGUGAAAUGCGUAGAUAUAUGGAGGAACACCGGUGGCGAAAGCGGCUCUCUGGCUUGUAACUGACGCUGAGGCUCGAAAGCGUGGGGAGCAAACAGG
This 763-nucleotide ribosomal RNA is filed under the name uncultured Streptococcus sp. Its description in RNAcentral is "bacterial SSU rRNA". It matches the Rfam family "Bacterial small subunit ribosomal RNA", at positions 28 to 776 of the family's 1533-position model. The record is from RNAcentral. Lineage: Bacteria; Bacillati; Bacillota; Bacilli; Lactobacillales; Streptococcaceae.